Molecule: ribosomal RNA, 253 nt
Filed under: uncultured bacterium
Lineage: Bacteria
Description: partial 16S ribosomal RNA
Rfam family: Bacterial small subunit ribosomal RNA
Source: RNAcentral
UACAGAGGAGCCAAGCGUUGUCCGGAUUGACUGGGCGUAAAGCGCACGCAGGCGGUCGCGCGCGUGGGGUGUGAAAUCUGGCCGCUUAACGGCCAGGCGCCAUCCCAUACGGCGCAACUGGAGGGCUGCAGAGGUCGAUGGAAUUGCCGGUGUAGUGGUGAAAUGCGUAGAGAUCGGAAGGAACGCCCGCGGCGAAAGCGCGGUUCUGGACCCCGCCUGACGCUGAGACGCGAAAGCUAGGGGAGCGAACGGG